UGGGGAAUCUUGCACAAUGGGGGCAACCCUGAUGCAGCGACGCCGCGUGAGCGAUGAAGCCCUUCGGGGCGUAAAGCUCUUUCGACCGGAACGAUAAUGACGGUACCGGGAGAAGAAGCUGCGGCUAACUACGUGCCAGUAGCCGCGGUAAUACGUAGGCAGCAGGCGUUGUUCGGAAUUACUGGGCGUAAAGGGCGCGUAGGCGGUUUGCUUAGUCAGGCGUGAAAGCCCUGGGCUUAACCUGGGAUGUGCGCUUGAUACUGGCAGGCUUGAGUGUGGGAGAGGUUGGUGGAAUUCCCAGUGUAGAGGUGAAAUUCGUAGAUAUUGGGAAGAACACCGGUGGCGAAGGCGGCCAACUGGACCACAACUGACGCUGAGGCGCGAAAGCGUGGGGAGCAAACA
Molecule: ribosomal RNA, 402 nt
Filed under: uncultured bacterium
Lineage: Bacteria
Description: bacterial SSU rRNA
Rfam family: Bacterial small subunit ribosomal RNA
Source: RNAcentral